GAUGUAGUGAAAGGAGUUCUUAUUGACCCGGAAGUUCUUUGCAAAGUGCUCUUUAAAGUCUUUUUGGCCCAAUUCGCAGUUUAUAUGAUGAGCUGUGGGGAGUGAAAGAGAGAGUUGAAGAUGGUGCCGAGUCUGGGCUGGGCAGCUGGAUGAACGGAAAUGCCAUCUUCUGUCUAUGGGAACCCUGUGGGAGCAGCAGAGCUGACGGAGCCCCGGCCCAGCCCUCUGCUAUGGGGUCUUCAGUCACAUCCUGGUGGAGAAAAGGCGAGGCCCACUUCUCUGCUUGACCUCUGAAGCACUUCAAGAAAUCUCCCGAGUUUGCCUACAAGGUGUGACUGAGGAAGUUUCCAGUCCCAGGAACAGAAAGCCCCAUGGUUUCCUGUACUGCUUAGAGCUCAUCGCCUGGAUGGACCAGUGCAAAAGCUUGCCGGCUGACCCUCUUGUUUCUGCUGGAUCACUUCUCCUUUUGGGUCUUUUAGUAGCAUAUAAACAUUUUCUUCAUGUAUCCUUGUACACUUUUGGUCAAGUUUAUUGCUAGGUAUUUUAUCUUUUUUUGUUGUCUCUUAAAUUAAAAAAAAAAAUUUUCCGCUAUAUCUACUAACUAGUUGCUGUUUUAUAUAUAUAUAUAUACACACACACAUAUAUAAAUACAUA
Long non-coding RNA from Diceros bicornis minor, 654 nucleotides. RefSeq lists it as uncharacterized. The record is from RefSeq and is a predicted model, not a curated record. The transcript has 3 exons. NCBI's taxonomy places the organism in Eukaryota, Metazoa, Chordata, Mammalia, Perissodactyla, Rhinocerotidae.